This 68-nucleotide transfer RNA is filed under the name Plerotes anchietae (Anchieta's broad-faced fruit bat). RNAcentral describes it as "tRNA-Thr". Lineage: Eukaryota; Metazoa; Chordata; Mammalia; Chiroptera; Pteropodidae. The record is from RNAcentral.
GUCUAUGUAGUAUAUCAAUUACACUGGUCUUGUAAACCAGAAAAGGGGACUAACCUCCCCCAAAGACU